GGGUCGGUACUAAAGCGGUCAACUAGGGCAGACUGUAAAUCUGCUGGCUCAGCCUUCGUAGGUUCGAAUCCUACCCGGCCCA
The sequence is a transfer RNA, 82 nucleotides long. It matches the Rfam family "tRNA". From Rfam's summary of the family: Transfer RNA (tRNA) molecules are approximately 80 nucleotides in length. Their secondary structure includes four short double-helical elements and three loops (D, anti-codon, and T loops).